This is a long non-coding RNA of Tympanuchus pallidicinctus (lesser prairie-chicken), 1554 nucleotides long. RefSeq lists it as uncharacterized. Lineage: Eukaryota; Metazoa; Chordata; Aves; Galliformes; Phasianidae. The record is from RefSeq and is a predicted model, not a curated record. The transcript has 3 exons.
AAGAUACUGAAAAAGACUUGUUUCUAGAUAUUUUUAACUGUAGUUCAUUAUGUUGUUUUUUUUUUCACACCAGGUUUCCUGCUUGAAUCCCCCUCACACACCUCAUGCUUGUCACCUGUACUGUAGUUCUGCUCUGUUCUGCAGUAACUGCCUUCCUCUGGGCUGGAACACAAAAGAAGACCUUGUGAAAACAGUCACCAUUUCUGGGGGUAAAUGUUCACUUCUUUUCCCUCAGAAGCAGAGAGGAACUUCCAGAACUGAUCACAGCUCACGUUGGAGCCUGCAGCAGAGGUUGGUGGGACUUUUCCAGCACAUGGGCAGCACGUGGCAGCAGCACUGACAGCACCGCACCGUGUGGCAGCAAACAGCUCCAGCUCUGACCUCUGCUUCUGAGCCUAGAGCAGGUACAUGAUGCCUCUGCUUUCCCCACCAGCCCCAGCCCCCAGAGCACACUGCUGCCAGCUGCCACAUCGCGGCUGCCGCUCCGUUGGCUUUUUGGAAGCCUUGAGUGUUCUCCCAGAGCUUUCUGGACGUCGGUUUAAACUGAGCUUGCAGUGAAUUUGGAGCUAAGUUACCUGUUUACGUGUUUUGGGGUUUUGUAAAUCAGCACUGAAUCGAAGGCACUCCAUUACUGGGUUCUCAGGGCAUCCUGUGACUGAGGGCUCGCUGCUGGUGCUGCUGGUGCUGCUGCCACAAACCACAGUGAGGGGCCUGGACGCCGUGUCCUGGUGUGGCUCCGUGCCCGGGUUCCACCAGCUAAAGCCCGGCUGCCGGCAGCUCCCAACUUACCUGCAGAUGCUACCCGCGUUCGUGGGGACCAACUAAGGGCAGGACCCAGGCUCGUGGGCUGAGCUGCAAACUCACUUGGCUUUGGUGCCUUUAAUUCAACCUUAUGGCAGUUGGUUGCUAUUAAAUUUGAGAGCCGUGCCCACGGCCCGAUUUAAGCCUGGGCGUCCCAGCGUGCUUGGCGUUUUGCAAUGAGAGGAGACAGUCCCUGCCCCGAAGAGAACAUCACAGGAACUUUUUUUUCUGGUGAUUUAAUCAUAAUAUUGACAGCUUUAUCAAAAAUUACAAAACUGAUAUUAAAAAAAUUUCUAAUUCUUAGUAAGACUAGAAUGGGUUUCUUUUUUAAAAAUAGAAAAGCACUUUUAUGCUACUGCUCUUCUGGAAUUCUCACAUUACAACCCUACAUAGCAAAAUACAAAUGUAGCUAAGAAAGGUAGCAGGCCUAAGGUACUUCAGUCCACCACGAGCCCUCUAACAACUUCUAUACCAUCAAACUCAGGGACUCCAAAAGGGUAUCACAGUACUUAGAAACCUUCUGCAAAACUCAGUUAGGAAAUACCUGGUAAUGUUACGUUCCUUCUAACCCCGAAAUCCUUAGACUGUGAGUAUGAGAACCUGGGACAGCAGAGGUGGGAAUUAGUAUUUUUUUCCUUCAGUGAAUAUUACUUUUGCAGCUGAUUCCAGCAAAACAUUCUCUGCAAGAAGUGAAAAUACGAAGAAAAUCCAUCAAAACAAAUGAUUUUUUUUUUUUUUCUUUUCUUUUUUUUU